GGCGUAGGCGGGAAAGAAAGUCAGCCGUGAAAGCCCGAGGCUCAACCUCGGAACAGCGUUUGAAACUUCUUUUCUUGAGGGUAGGCGGAGAAAACAGAAUUCCACAAGUAGCGGUGAAAUGCGUAGAGAUGUGGAAGAAUACCGGUGGCGAAGGCGGUUUUCUAGCUUAUUCCUGACGCUAAGGCCCGAAAGCUAGGGGAGCAAACA
RNAcentral lists this ribosomal RNA (207 nucleotides) under uncultured bacterium. Its description in RNAcentral is "partial 16S ribosomal RNA". It matches the Rfam family "Bacterial small subunit ribosomal RNA", at positions 568 to 774 of the family's 1533-position model. The record is from RNAcentral.